This 588-nucleotide ribosomal RNA is filed under the name Triticum aestivum (bread wheat). RNAcentral's name for it is "partial small subunit ribosomal RNA". Lineage: Eukaryota; Viridiplantae; Streptophyta; Magnoliopsida; Poales; Poaceae. The record is from RNAcentral.
AUGAUAUACAACAGCUAUAAAGAAAAAUGGCACAUCUACUGGAGGGAAAAUAUAUAUUCUAAUAGAAGAAUAUACCUGGAAGUGAUUGGGAACCCUCCUAAUGCUGCAAAGCCAUUCAACUGGAUUUGGAAAUCCUCAUCCCUCCCAAAGCAAAAGUUUUUCUUCUGGUUAUUAUUGCAGGACAGACUAAACACAUGGAAUCUUCUGACUAGGAAAAAUUUCCAUAUUGAACGAACUUAUUGUGUUCUUUGUGAUGAAGAGCCUAUGGAAGAGUACAUCCACCUGUUCUUCUCCUGUGAUUUCAGUCAGAAUUUCUGGAUGCCAUUAAGAAUAGAAUGGAAUGUUGACAUGAAUAUCAAUGAUAUGCUACUAGAUGGCAAGAAAAGAAAUGGAACAAUAUUCUACAAAGAAAUUAUAAUGGCAGGUUGUUGGACCCUUUGGAAGCACGGGAAUGGUAUAUUAUUUGACCAUAAGCAAAAGGAUAUUCUAUACUGCAUCAAUUGCUUCAAAGAACACUUUGAGAUAGUCAUACAAAAGAGCAAGCCAAGCCUCAAGGAGGGCAUGCAGGAUUGGCUAGAUACAUUGUAG